RNAcentral lists this ribosomal RNA (497 nucleotides) under uncultured bacterium. RNAcentral's name for it is "partial 16S ribosomal RNA". It matches the Rfam family "Bacterial small subunit ribosomal RNA", at positions 28 to 507 of the family's 1533-position model. The record is from RNAcentral.
GAUGAACGCUGGCGGCGUGCCUAAUACAUGCAAGUCGAGCGAACAGACGAGGAGCUUGCUCCUCUGACGUUAGCGGCGGACGGGUGAGUAACACGUGGAUAACCUACCUAUAAGACUGGGAUAACUUCGGGAAACCGGAGCUAAUACCGGAUAAUAUAUUGAACCGCAUGGUUCAAUAGUGAAAGACGGUUUUGCUGUCACUUAUAGAUGGAUCCGCGCCGCAUUAGCUAGUUGGUAAGGUAACGGCUUACCAAGGUGACGAUGCGUAGCCGACCUGAGAGGGUGAUCGGCCACACUGGAACUGAGACACGGUCCAGACUCCUACGGGAGGCAGCAGUAGGGAAUCUUCCGCAAUGGGCGAAAGCCCGACGGAGCAACGCCGCGUGAGUGAUGAAGGUCUUCGGAUCGUAAAACUCUGUUAUUAGGGAAGAACAAAUGUGUAAGUAACUAUGCACGUCUUGACGGUACCUAAUCAGAAAGCCACGGCUAACUACGUG